CAGCCGCCGCGGUAAUACGUAGGGUGCAAGCGUUAAUCGGAAUUACUGGGCGUGAAGCGUGCGCAGGCGGUCCGCUAAGACAGAUGUGAAAUCCCCGGGCUUAACCUGGGAACUGCAUUUGUGACUGGCGGGCUAGAGUAUGGCAGAGGGGGGUAGAAUUCCACGUGUAGCAGUGAAAUGCGUAGAGAUGUGGAGGAAUACCGAUGGCGAAGGCGGCUCACUGGACAAUUACUGACGCUGAUGCACGAAAGCUAGGGGAGCAAACAGGAUUAGAUACCCGGGUAGUCCCUGUCUCUUAUAC
RNAcentral lists this ribosomal RNA (301 nucleotides) under uncultured bacterium. RNAcentral describes it as "partial 16S ribosomal RNA". It matches the Rfam family "Bacterial small subunit ribosomal RNA", at positions 509 to 807 of the family's 1533-position model. The record is from RNAcentral.